RNAcentral lists this transfer RNA (69 nucleotides) under Tepuihyla edelcae (white-lipped bog-frog). Its description in RNAcentral is "tRNA-Ala". It matches the Rfam family "tRNA". Rfam says of the family: Transfer RNA (tRNA) molecules are approximately 80 nucleotides in length. Their secondary structure includes four short double-helical elements and three loops (D, anti-codon, and T loops). Lineage: Eukaryota; Metazoa; Chordata; Amphibia; Anura; Hylidae. The record is from RNAcentral.
GAGGCUUUAUCUUAAUAAAAGUACCUGAGUUGCAUUCAGGAGAUAUAGGUUAAUGUUCUAUAAGUCUUA